This 403-nucleotide ribosomal RNA is filed under the name bacterium. RNAcentral's name for it is "partial 16S ribosomal RNA". It matches the Rfam family "Bacterial small subunit ribosomal RNA", at positions 355 to 776 of the family's 1533-position model. The record is from RNAcentral.
UGGGGAAUAUUGCACAAUGGGGGAAACCCUGAUGCAGCGACGCCGCGUGAACGAAGAAGGUAUUCGUAUCGUAAAGUUCUGUCCUAUGGGAAGAUAAUGACAGUACCAUAGAAGAAAGCUCCGGCUAAAUACGUGCCAGCAGCCGCGGUAAUACGUAUGGAGCGAGCGUUGUCCGGAAUUAUUGGGCGUAAAGGGUACGCAGGCGGUUUAAUAAGUCGAAUGUUAAAGAUCGGGGCUCAACCCCGUAAAGCAUUGGAAACUGAUAAACUUGAGUAGUGGAGAGGAAAGUGGCAUUCCUAGUGUAGUGGUGAAAUACGUAGAUAUUAGGAGGAAUACCAGUAGCGAAGGCGACUUUCUGGACACAAACUGACGCUGAGGUACGAAAGCGUGGGGAGCAAACAGG